UGGGGAAUAUUGCACAAUGGGGGAAACCCUGAUGCAGCGACGCCGCGUGAAGGAUGAAGUAUUUCGGUAUGUAAACUUCUAUCAGCAGGGAAGAAAAUGACGGUACCUGACUAAGAAGCCCCGGCUAACUACGUGCCAGCAGCCGCGGUAAUACGGAGGAUCCGAGCGUUAUCCGGAUUUAUUGGGUUUAAAGGGAGCGUAGAUGGCAUGGCAAGUCUGAUGUGAAAGGCAGGGGCUCAACUCCUGGACUGCAUUGGAAACUGCCGGGCUUGAGUGCCGGAGGGGUAAGCGGAAUUCCUAGUGUAGCGGUGAAAUGCGUAGAUAUUAGGAGGAACACCAGUGGCGAAGGCGGCUUACUGGACAGUAACUGACGUUGAGGCUCGAAAGCGUGGGGAGCAAACAGGAUUAGAUACCC
RNAcentral lists this ribosomal RNA (415 nucleotides) under uncultured bacterium. Its description in RNAcentral is "bacterial SSU rRNA". It matches the Rfam family "Bacterial small subunit ribosomal RNA", at positions 355 to 787 of the family's 1533-position model. The record is from RNAcentral.